Molecule: small RNA, 2042 nt
Filed under: Vigna angularis var. angularis
Lineage: Eukaryota; Viridiplantae; Streptophyta; Magnoliopsida; Fabales; Fabaceae
Description: Non-protein coding transcript
Source: RNAcentral
CUUCUCCACACUGUUCCAGUUCCACUUUUUCGUUUUUUUCACUCUUCAGUCCUUCCUUGAUUCUUCAACGGAAGGUUUUUUUUUUUUUUUUUUUUGUGUGGUUUAAUGUAUUUGCCCAAUUCAAAAUGUAUUGAACAGUUUUUCAUUGGUUUUUGACUUGUCAUUUGCCUUUUUACCUAACCAUCGCCGUCGCCACCGCCACCUACGUUUUUGGUCAUGCACACACACGUGUGUGUAUGUGUGUGGUUGUCUGUAAAGGCUUUUGAUGAACGCCAUUGUGUUAAAACUCCAUGAUUUAUUCUUAUGCUAUGGGAUCUGGGAUCUGAUGGCAUUUUCACGGUUUUACCUCAGUUCACCGAUUUUUUUAUCAUAGAGGUUUGUUCUGUUUUUAUGAGCCUGAUGAUUGAGUAGCACUGUGUAUGCUCUGUGAGAUCAUGAAGUUAGAUUUUCCUCCGCCGUCUUCGUUAUUGUUUGGUGUUUUCUACAUCUUUUGUACUUUCGUUUCUCGAUGGUUUGCAUUUGGGGAAACCCUAUUAGUUUGACGGUUAAUAUGCCAAUUUAAACCUGUUAGAUAUUUAAAUUUGAAAGAAUUUGUUAAGCAUGAAGCAGAGUGACCUAAAUUUUGGUCUAGGGUUUUCUGGUCUGAAAAAACAUACUUACUGUUUCAACUGGUUCAAUUGACAUGCGGCUGCCUUCUAUGCUACCCCAUGAUGGAUAAAUAGUCUAUUGAACGGCUACAUGGUUUUGUUCGUAACUGGAUCUGCACCAUUCUCUUCCUCUUUCUCUCUCUUUUUGUCUCUCUCUACGUCUGCGUGUGUGAGCGCGCACGUCUAUUUUUGCACUCUAUGCAUACUUGCAUACAUAUAUAUAUAUAUACAUAAACUAUGUUGAGAUGGUGCAAGAAGGCUGUGAACGAAGCCUGUUAUAAAGCUGUAGAUGAUCUGUCUUUAGCUAUGAGAUCUGAGGGUUAUGCGCUCUAUUUUAUUUGGCAAUACUUGUUUUCCAUUUUCUAAAGCAAUUUUUCUAUUGUUCUUAUUAGACAUGCUAGCAGACUUACACAAUUUUGAUUAACAUCUGAAAUGCAUUUGAAAUAAUCAGGAGAAAAGUGCCGAGGAGAUGUUUUAUGUAUACUAACUUUAACUGUUUUAUAUUAAUUCGGUAGUCAUGGAAUCAUUGUUCGUUUUUAUGGCCAUAAGAACAAUCCCAAGUCUUUCUCCUUUCUUUUGUUCUGGAUUAGCUUUAUAGCAUUCACUAGUUUAUGAUCUAAGCCAAUGCUAUUUUUAAGACGUUUCACAAAAAUUCUGUUUUCUCUUUUUCUACAGCAAGCAUUGGCUGUAAAUGCUAUCCUUUAUGUCGUGUUGAGGUUAUGUAGUAGUUUGUUCACCCAUGUUGAGAUGAUAAAUGACUUAAUGUUGGUGGGUUGGAGAAUUGAGGUGUUGCAAUAAAGAUUAAACUAGCGUAAGGUAUGUCCAUAAUACAUAUAAAGGCUACGCCAUGGUCAGUGAUCGUCUAUGAUCGGCUUCACGUGCUCGGAAGUGAUUCGUGAGAAUUUAAGCGUUUCUUGACCUGUCUGAACUGAAGCAUGUCUCCUUGUUUGCUGGUCAUUAAUUACUAUGGAUUUUUUGGUCGCUGUUGAGUGCUUCAAUUUCUGGAAACCAUCAAAGUCAAAGGUCACGGAGGGUUGCUAUACCAUGGGGAUGAUAAAAUCGAAUACGCUGUCUUGUUGGAAAAUUAUACUUAUUAGAAGUAGUGGUAGUUAUAGAUAUGGAACAAACAAGAGAAAAGGUCGCAAUAGCGAGACUCUUGUAUUUCAAAGGUAACCAGCCAACUGCUUAUUGAGAUAAAUUAGGGGGAAUUUGAAUACGUAUAUUUUAGUGGCUCCCCCGGAAGAAAAGCCUUCAAAUGGUCAAUCGAUUUUAGAGCUUGUGUUCAUUUCUUCACAUUUACUAAUUCGCCUCUCGUUUUUUAAAUUUUCUACAUCCAAAAACGCAAUGUAUAUUAUGAUUAACAUCUAGUGCUGUCAAGUUGGUUCUAACUCGUGA